AGCGAACGCUGGCGGCAGGCCUAACACAUGCAAGUCGAACGAACUCUUCGGAGUUAGUGGCGGACGGGUGAGUAACACGUGGGAACGUGCCCUUUGGUACGGAAUAACUCAGGGAAACUUGAGCUAAUACCGUAUGUGCCCUUCGGGGGAAAGAUUUAUCGCCAUUGGAGCGGCCCGCGUCUGAUUAGCUAGUUGGUGAGGUAACGGCUCACCAAGGCGACGAUCAGUAGCUGGUCUGAGAGGAUGACCAGCCACAUUGGGACUGAGACACGGCCCAAACUCCUACGGGAGGCAGCAGUGGGGAAUCUUGCGCAAUGGGCGAAAGCCUGACGCAGCCAUGCCGCGUGGAUGGUGAAGGUCUUAGGAUUGUAAAAUCCUUUCACCGGUGAAGAUAAUGACUGUAGCCGGAGAAGAAGCCCCGGCUAACUUCGUGCCAGCCGCCGCGGUAA
This 449-nucleotide ribosomal RNA is filed under the name uncultured bacterium. RNAcentral describes it as "partial 16S ribosomal RNA". It matches the Rfam family "Bacterial small subunit ribosomal RNA", at positions 29 to 523 of the family's 1533-position model. The record is from RNAcentral.